This 30-nucleotide non-coding RNA is filed under the name Rattus norvegicus (Norway rat). The record is from RNAcentral. Lineage: Eukaryota; Metazoa; Chordata; Mammalia; Rodentia; Muridae.
UCUUUCAGGCCAAACUAGAGGAACUCUCCA